GCCCGAAUAGCUCAGGGGUAGAGCAGAAGACUGAAAAUCUUUGUGUCGGUGGUUCAAGUCCUCCUUUGGGCA
Non-coding RNA from Cafeteria roenbergensis, 72 nucleotides. The record is from the annotation of a GenBank genome assembly. Lineage: Eukaryota; Bigyra; Bicosoecida; Cafeteriaceae.